RNAcentral lists this ribosomal RNA (118 nucleotides) under Hordeum vulgare subsp. vulgare (domesticated barley). The record is from RNAcentral. Lineage: Eukaryota; Viridiplantae; Streptophyta; Magnoliopsida; Poales; Poaceae.
GGAUGCUAUCAUACGAGCACUAAAGCACCGGAUCCCAUCAGAGCUCCGAAGUUAAGCGUGCUAGAGCGAGAGUAGUACUAGGAUGGUGACCUCCUGGGAAGUCCUCGUGUUGCAUUCC